GACGAACGCUGGCGGCGUGCCUAAUACAUGCAAGUCGAACGAGAGCACCCGGUGCUUGCACUGGUCAAUCUAGUGGCGAACGGGUGAGUAACACGUGGGUAACCUGCCCAUCAGAGGGGGAUAACAUCCGGAAACGGAUGCUAAAACCGCAUAGGUCUUCGAACCGCAUGGUUUGAAGAGGAAAAGAGGCGCAAGCUUCUGCUGAUGGAUGGACCCGCGGUGCAUUAGCUAGUUGGUGAGGUAACGGCUCACCAAGGCCGUGAUGCAUAGCCGACCUGAGGGGGUGAUCGGCCACAUUGGAACUGAGACACGGCCCAAACUCCUACGGGAGGCAGCAGUAGGGAAUCUUCCGCAAUGGACGCAAGUCUGACGGAGCAACGCCGCGUGAGUGAAGAAGGUUUUCGGAGCGUAAAACUCUGUUGUUAGAGAAGAACAAGUGCUAGAGUAACUGUUAGCGCCUUGACGGUAUCUAACCAGAAAGCCACGGCUAACUACGUG
This 498-nucleotide ribosomal RNA is filed under the name uncultured bacterium. RNAcentral describes it as "partial 16S ribosomal RNA". It matches the Rfam family "Bacterial small subunit ribosomal RNA", at positions 28 to 507 of the family's 1533-position model. The record is from RNAcentral.